This 498-nucleotide ribosomal RNA is filed under the name Phelsuma punctulata. RNAcentral describes it as "partial 16S ribosomal RNA". It matches the Rfam family "Bacterial large subunit ribosomal RNA", at positions 1914 to 2597 of the family's 2925-position model. Lineage: Eukaryota; Metazoa; Chordata; Lepidosauria; Squamata; Gekkonidae. The record is from RNAcentral.
GAAUUCAUUUUAACGGCCGCGGUAUCCUAACCGUGCAAAGGUAGCAUAAUCACUUGUCCCUUAAAUAGGGACUUGUAUGAACGGUUAAAUGAGGGCUUAACUGUCUCCUGCAGCCAAUCAAUGAAAUUGAUCUCACAGUACAAACGCUGUGAUAUAACUAUAAGACGAGAAGACCCUGUGGAGCUUUAAACCUGCCACAUUAACUAUAACUACCCUAACCAUUUAUUAGUAUAAUGUAAGUUUUAAGUUGGGGCGACUAUGGAGUAAAAACUAACCUCCACGCAACACGAUUAAACCUCGUCACAUACGGCUAACAAGCCUAAUCAAAAUACACGACCCAGUCAAACUGAUCACCGAACCAAGUUACCCCAGGGAUAACAGCGCCAUCCCCUUAAAGAGUUCACAUCGCCAAGGGGGUUUACGACCUCGAUGUUGGAUCAGGACACCCAAGUGGUGCAGCAGCUACUAAAGGUUCGUUUGUUCAACGAGUAAUGUCCU